UACGGGGGGAGCAAGCGUUGUUCGGAUUUACUGGGCGUAAAGGGCGCGUAGGCGGCCACCGCAAGUCGACUGUGAAAUCUCCCGGCUCAACUGGGAGGGGUCAUUCGAUACUGGCGGGCUCGAGGCCGGUAGGGGGAAGUGGAAUUCCCGGUGUAGUGGUGGAAUGCGUAGAUAUCGGGAGGAACACCAGUGGCGAAGGCGGCUUCCUGGACCGGUUCUGACACUGAGGAGCGAAAGCGUGGGGAGCGAUCCGG
RNAcentral lists this ribosomal RNA (254 nucleotides) under uncultured bacterium. RNAcentral describes it as "partial 16S ribosomal RNA". It matches the Rfam family "Bacterial small subunit ribosomal RNA", at positions 524 to 776 of the family's 1533-position model. The record is from RNAcentral.